RNAcentral lists this unclassified non-coding RNA (192 nucleotides) under uncultured Exophiala. Its description in RNAcentral is "sequence contains ITS1". The record is from RNAcentral. Lineage: Eukaryota; Fungi; Ascomycota; Eurotiomycetes; Chaetothyriales; Herpotrichiellaceae.
ACGAGUUAGGGUCUUUCUGGCCCGACCUCCCAACCCUUUGUCUACUUGACCAUCGUUGCUUCGGCGAGCCCGUCCUCCUGGACCGCCGGAGGGACCCUCAUCGGCCCUCUGGUCCGCGCUCGUCGGUAGCCCAACUUUAAAAAUCUUUAACUAAACGUGUCUCAAUCUAAGUACUAUUAUUAAAUAAAAGCA